GGUAAAUUACUCAUGGCGUAUGGUGGAUGCCUUGACUGAAGUAAGCGACGAAGGACGUAGCGAUCUGCGAUAAGCCUCGGGGAGCUGAUGAGCAAGCUUUGAUCCGGGGAUUUCCAAAUGGGGAAACCCAUCCCAAUUUGCGUUGGGAUAUCAUCAACUGAAUACAUAGGUUGAUGAAGCGCACCCAGGGAACUGAAACAUCUUAGUACCUGGAGGAAAAGAAAAUAAAAUGAUUCCGUCAGUAGUGGCGAGCGAAAGCGGAAGAGCCUAAACCGUUCGCACUUGUGCGAGCGGGGUUGCGAGGUAACGACGUCCUAUCUUAUUAAGUUUCCCGCUUGCGGGACGCUUAAUAAGCAAUGGGAGUAGAGUUACAAAUUGUUUCGUUAGCAGAACACCCUUGGAAAGAGGGACCGCAGAAGGUAAUAGUCCUGUAUGCAAAAACGAAACAACUUUAUUGUUGUUAUUCUCAAGUAAGGCGGGACCGGAGAAAUCCCGUCUGAAGCCGGGGCCACUAUAGCUCCAAGGCUAAAUAUUACUUCAGAUCGAUAGUGAACUAGUACCGUGAGGGAAAGGUGAAAAGAACCCCUUUGAGGGGAGUGAAAUAGAACUGAAAUCAUACGCUUACGAAGAGUCAGAGUCCCGGCACUUGUGUCGGGGUGAUGGCGUGCUUUUUGCAGAACGAGCCAACGAGUUAAUUCUAUGCGGCUUGCAUAAGCUACUUAUGUAGAAUAUGCGUAGUGAAAGCGAGCCUUAACCGGCGACCAUGUCGCAUGGAUUAGACCCGAAGCCGGGCGAGCUACAUAUGAGCAGGGUGAACGAAGAGUAACAUCUUCGGGAGGCCCGAACCCACGCGCCGUUCAACACGCGGGGAUGACUUGUGUGUAGAGGAGAAAUUCCAAUCGAGCUCGGCCAUAGCUGGUUCUUCCCGAAAUAGCUUGAGGGCUAGCGUCGGGGAACAUAAUCACGGGAGGUAGAGCUACUGAAUGAGGGAUCAUGGAGCAAUCCUAGGUCUCUCAACCAAACUCCGAAUGCCCGUGAUUUUAUCCCGGCAGUCAGAACGUGAGGGCUAAGCUUCACGCUCAAAAAGGAAACAGCCUAGACCGCCGUCUAAGGUCCCUGAAUCUAUGUUAAGUGGAAAAGGAAGUGAGAUCUCCCAGACACCUAGGAGGUUGGCUUAGAAGCAGCCAUCCUUUAAAGAGUGCGUAACAGCUCACUAGUCCAGAGAUUUCGCGCCGAAAAUGUAACGGGGCUAAACAUAGUACCGAAGACGCGGACUCCGAUUUAUCGGAGUGGUAGGGAAGUGUUCUCAUCUGCUGCGAAGCCGAAGGCGUGAGCCACGGUGGAGCGAUGAGAAGUAAGAAUGUUGGCAUGAGUAACCGCAAUUAGAGUGAGAACCUCUGACGCCGAAAGUCUAAGGUUUCCUGGGCAAUGUCGAUCAACCCAGGGUUAGGCGGUCCUAAGGCGAGGCCGAAAGGCGUAGUCGAUGGAUAGCCGGUUAAUAUUCCGGCCCCGCAAUAUUAUUCGAUGGAGUGACGUAUCCUAGUAGUCUCUGCCCCUUAUUGGAUUGGGGUAGGCGCAUUGAGGACGUUCGCGAGGCAAAUCCCGCGAGCACAAAUCCAAGGUGCGACUGGAAGUCCGAUUUAUCGGGUGAACGGAGAUGAGCAGGGUACCGGGAAAAACUUCUAAGGUUAAUAAUAUUGCGUCCGUACUUAAAACCGACACAGGUGGACUGGGCGAGUAGCCUAAGGCGAACGGGAGAACCCUUGUUAAGGAACUCGGCAAAACAACUAGACGUAACUUCGGGAGAUGUCUCGCCCCGAUUCGUAUCGGGGCCGCAGUUAAAGAUUCCUGGCGACUGUUUAUCAAAAACACAAGUCUCUGCAAACCCGUAAGGGGAAGUAUAGGGGCUGACACCUGACCAGUGCUGGAACGUUAACGGGAGCGGUGCAAGCCAAUCCCCGAAGCGCCAGUGAACGUCAGCGAUAACUAUAAUCGUUCUAAGGUAGCGAAAUUCCUUGUCGGGUAAGUUCCGACCCGCAUUAAAGGUGUAACGACUGGGAAACUGUCUCAACAAGGGACCCGGUGAAAUCGCAAUGACGGUAAAGAUGCCGUCGACCUACGGCAAGACGAAAAGACCCCGUGGAGCUUUACUACAACUUGGUAUUGGGUUGUGUUUUUAGUUGCCUAGCAUAGGUGGGAGGCUUUGAAGUCCCGAUUUCGGUCGGGAUGGAGCCGCCAGUGUAAUACCACCCUUCUGAAGUCGCAAUUCUAACCCUGAUCUGUUAGUUGGAUUAUAUAGAAAAUAUGAUCAAUUAAUGGUAUUCAGAAAAGUGUAAAGGACACGAUAAUGAUUAUCAUUAAUGAUGAUUAUAUUUACUAACGCGCCCAAUUUAUUGUCUAGCGAAGCGAGAGAAAUUAAAACAAGUUUUAAUUUCCGAGCGAGCGACGACAUCAAAGGGUUUACCCUUUAUAAUUCAACUACCAGAUCGGGGACAGUGCCUGGUGGGUAGUUUGACUGGGGCGGUCGCCUCCCAAAAAGUAACGGAGGCGUUUACAAAGGUUGGCUAGAUCCGGAUGGAAAUCGGAUCGAUAGCGCAAACACACAAGCCAGCUUUACUGGAAGACCUAUAAGUCGACCAGUCACGAAAGUGGAAGUUAGUGAACCGACCAUCGCUUAUAGGAGCGUGGAAGAUCAUCAGAUAAAAGUUACCCCGGGGAUAACAGGCUAAUCCCUCCCAAGAGUCCACAUCGACGGAGGGGUUUGGCACCUCGAUGUCGGCUCAUCGCAUCCUGGGGCUGGAGAAGGUCCCAAGGGUAUGGCUGUUCGCCAUUUAAAGCGGUACGCGAGCUGGGUUCAAACCGUCGUGAGACAGGUUGGUCUCCUAUCUGCUGUGGGCGUUGUUGCUUGAGAAGAGUCUUUCCUAGUACGAGAGGACCGGAAAGAACAAACCUCUGGUGUACGAGCUGUUCCGCCAGGAGCACUGCUCGGUAGCUAUGUUUGGAAAGGAUAACCGCUGAAAGCAUAUAAGCGGGAAGCCUCCUUCAAGAUAAGGCAACUGUUGAAGCUUGCUUCAACAUGAUUUCCUAGAAGAUGACUAGGUUGAUAGGUCUCAGAUGCAAGUGCAGCAAUGCAUUAAGUCGAGAGAUACUAAUAAAUCAAAAUUACACUCU
RNAcentral lists this ribosomal RNA (3171 nucleotides) under Candidatus Moraniibacteriota bacterium. Its description in RNAcentral is "23S ribosomal RNA". It matches the Rfam family "Bacterial large subunit ribosomal RNA". Lineage: Bacteria; Candidatus Moraniibacteriota. The record is from RNAcentral.